GUACACGCUGUGACUAGCAUAUCAAUAAGCGGAGGAAAAGAAACUAACAAGGAUUCCCCUAGUAACGGCGAGUGAAGCGGGAAGAGCUCAAAUUUGAAAUCUUAAAGGGUUUCCCUUUACGAAUUGUAGUUUAAAGAAGUGUUUUCUGUUGAGGUUUUGGUAAAAGUUCUUUGGAAUAGGACAUCAUAGAGGGUGAGAAUCCCGUAUUUGACCUUUACUUUCAACUUUGUGAUACACUUUCAAAGAGUCGGAUUGUUUGGGAAUGCAGUCCAAAAUGGGUGGUAAAUUUCAUCUAAAGCUAAAUAUUGGCGAGAGACCGAUAGCGAACAAGUACCGUGAGGGAAAGAUGAAAAGAACUUUGAAAAGAGAGUUAAACAGUACGUGAAAUUGUCAAAAGGGAAGCGUUUGACACCAGUGUUGUUUUCCUGAAAAUCAAUUAAAGAACUGUUUAUGCUAAGCUGUUUAGACUUUAUCAGCUAUCUGUUUAGUUUUGAGCUUUUCUUUAAUGCACUUUUCAGUUAACAAGUCAACAUCAAUUUCUUUUGCUGUAAAAAAGCUUGAGGAAGGUGGCUUGAGAUUCGUCUUAAGUGUUUAUAGCCUCUUGCCUAUGCAGUCGGAGAGAUUGAGGUCUGCAGCGUAGAUCCUUCGGGGCUAAAUGCAUUUGUGCUAAGUUAUAGCAUUUCAUAGACAACUUGUUGACUAUGAUUUGUCUUGUAGCUUACUCGCUUAUGUUAUUUUACCUACGCUUAGGAUGUUGACUGAUAUGUAGUCGUA
This 774-nucleotide ribosomal RNA is filed under the name uncultured Neocallimastigales. RNAcentral's name for it is "partial large subunit ribosomal RNA". It matches the Rfam family "Eukaryotic large subunit ribosomal RNA", at positions 22 to 644 of the family's 3401-position model. Lineage: Eukaryota; Fungi; Neocallimastigomycota; Neocallimastigomycetes; Neocallimastigales. The record is from RNAcentral.